Molecule: long non-coding RNA, 813 nt
Filed under: Homo sapiens (human)
Lineage: Eukaryota; Metazoa; Chordata; Mammalia; Primates; Hominidae
Description: non-protein coding lnc-NDUFB4-1:1
Source: RNAcentral
CCAGAGGCUGCCAAAUUGUCAUCUGAGCCGGACCGGGUUUCGGCGGCCGCGCUUUAUAGUCGCUGGAGCCUGGUGACCUAUUCCAGGGCUACAAGACUGCCUCGGCAAACAGCCCAAGGAUGUUCGGUUAUCUCGCCUUGAGGGUUCGCGCGUCACGUGCCCCCCCCGUCCCCCGCUUGUUUUUCAGUUUAAAAGUGGGGCCCGUGUCUGCAGGACUCUAGGAGCUGCGGGCCCACCCAUUCACUGAUGUUACCCUCUCCUGUCAUUUCUCCUUUGUGAAGGGCACUGAAAAUCUUGAGUUUUCUUGGGAAAGAGAAGACAUCAAACAGGCAUAUGAGGUAGAGGAUAAUAAAGAAUAUUACCUCCUUUUCAAGUACCUUGAUUUUUUUGAAGUUUUCUCGAAGUUGGUUUACCAGUUUCACAAUAACACAGAGCAACUAGAAGAUCAAAAUUCCUUGUAUGAGGGAAGAGUAUCUGUGGACCAGGCUGAAAUUUCUGAGGGGACUCUAUCACUUUUACUAAGAAAUGUGGAUUUCAUGGAUGAAGCUAUCUACAAGUGCUCAGCCAUCACACCAGAUGGAAGAGGUGAAAGUACAAUUAAGCUAAUAGUAGAAGACUCUGAAAUGCCCCAGGUGCAAUUUGACAGGAUUGAUGAUGAGGAUGUGGCCACAUGCAUCUCAAAGGACUAGUACCUCACGCCCAUUGUGACAUGGCUGGACCGGACAGAGAGGGACCUGAGCAACCACAGCAUCGUGGAAAUCCUGGAGGAGCAGAUGAAUGGCUUCUACAGGGUGUUCUCCAUCCUGAAAUACC